Molecule: long non-coding RNA, 1344 nt
Organism: Triticum dicoccoides
Lineage: Eukaryota; Viridiplantae; Streptophyta; Magnoliopsida; Poales; Poaceae
Exons: 5
Source: RefSeq, a predicted model, not a curated record
UCUAUUUCCUGUGUGUUUGGGCUCACAGAGUUAGGCCCAAUACAAAAGGAGAGGGCAAACACGUACAGCCUCCAUCCCCAAUUCAGUCGUAGUCUCCAGAAUCCUCUCGAUCCCCAAUCCAUUGCGCUUCACCGCCGCCGCCACCAUCGUCCGGUCCACAGCCGGAGCCGCCGCCACGCCAUCCUCCGGUCCGCCGCCGCCGCCGCCACGCCAUCCUCUGGUCCACCGCCGCCGCCGCCACACCAUCCUCCGGUCCACCGCCACCGCCACACCAUCCGCAGGUCCACCGCCAUGGCAGCAGCUACACCAUCCUCCCAUCUACCGUCGCGGCUGCCUCCCCUCCUUGCGGAAGGUCGUCCUUCCGCCUACAUCUUCCUCACCACCUGCGUAGUGCCGGUCUCUGCCUCGCUACCCGCCGGAGCACCAGCAUCUGCCCCCCACCAAGCUCCCGUACGUGUCGCCCCAUUCAGAUUUACACGUCUUCACCUCCGGCUGCCUGUACUCCUCUACUCGCUGCCUCACAAGUCCCCAUUCUCCAUAUCUCUGAAACAUCAGUGGACAGCUAGGGGAGUUGGCUGGCCACCCUUUUCGACGCCGUAAUUUCCCAGCUUGAACAAGUAUAUUGGUGGGAAGAGAGUUGGACGGUGAACUGCUGUAUGAAGCAUCAGGUGGCAUUCCUCAUGGUCGUGUGUCAAUAGGCGAUGGGGUUGUUAAGAAAGAAGAUAUUAAAUCAGCAGCUAGGAAAAGGAAUGCCAGUGCACCAAUUUCGCUCACACUUCGAGAGAAGGAACAACUCAGGCGUGCUAAUGACGAAAAUGCAGAACUCAGGCGUGCUAAGGAGAUGCUACAGCAGAAAGUAGAUAUGCAUGGGCAGCUCAUAACUGCACUUUUCAAGGAGAUAGGAAAAGAGUUGCCAGCGCAUAUACUACAUAUACUAAGCCAUGGAGCUGUUUCGCAACCAGAAGGGACAAAUAACUCGUCUCAAUCCGGCUCGCAAGCGGUUGAUGGCAACAAUGAUGUCAUGGAGUCGAGCGAGGAGAACGACACCACUGGGAAUGUCGGUGAUCAGAUCGUUGACGCAGCAGCCAACCAUGGCGGAAACUGAUUGCUCAAACAAUAUGAUAACAUCAGACUAUAGGUGGUCUUCAUACGCUCUUUUGUGGACUUGUGUAUCCAGUAUGGUUUAGGAAUGAGAACUAACAUCUGGUGGUAGUUGCAAGCCGGCGUAUUUUGCUAGUAUUGUUGUAGUUGGAAGGUCCUUUUGUGGAUGGUACCAUUGUAGCCUUGUAGUGUACUUUGUUGAUCUAUAUGUAUGGAACUGAUGAUGAUAUAUGAAGUCUGAUG